RNAcentral lists this ribosomal RNA (469 nucleotides) under uncultured bacterium. RNAcentral describes it as "bacterial SSU rRNA". It matches the Rfam family "Bacterial small subunit ribosomal RNA", at positions 28 to 495 of the family's 1533-position model. The record is from RNAcentral.
GAUGAACGCUGGCGGCGUGCUUAACACAUGCAAGUCGAAAGAAGCAUUUUAUUUUGAUUUUUUUGGAAUGAAAAAUUUGGUGAAUGAGUGGCGGACGGGUGAGUAACGCGUGGGUAACCUGCCUCAUACAGGGGGAUAACAGUUAGAAAAGAAUGCUAAUACCGCAUAAGACCACAGCACCGCAUGGUGCAGGGGUAAAAAAUCCGGUGGUAUGAGAAGGACCCGCGUUUGAUUAGGUAGUUGGUGGGGUAACGGCCUACCAAGCCGACGAUCAGUAGCCGACCUGAGAGGGUGACCGGCCACAUUGGGAAUGAGACACGGCCCAAAAUCCUACGGGAGGCAGCAGUGGGGAAUAUUGCACAAUGGGGGAAACCCUGAUGCAGCGACGCCGCGUGAGCGAUGAAGUAUUUCGGUAAGUAAAGCUCUAUCAGCAGGGAAGAAAAAGACGGUACCUGACUAAGAAGCACCG